Molecule: ribosomal RNA, 422 nt
Filed under: uncultured bacterium
Lineage: Bacteria
Description: bacterial SSU rRNA
Rfam family: Bacterial small subunit ribosomal RNA
Source: RNAcentral
UAAGGAAUAUUGGUCAAUGGAGGCAACUCUGAACCAGCCAUGCCGCGUGAAGGAUUAAGGCCCUCUGGGUUGUAAACUUCUUUUAUAUGGGAAGAAAUGUACUUUUUCUAAAGUGCUUGACGGUACCAUAGGAAUAAGCACCGGCUAACUCCGUGCCAGCAGCCGCGGUAAUACGUAGGGGGCAAGCGUUGUCCGGAUUUACUGGGUGUAAAGGGCGCGCAGGCGGGAUAAAAAGUCAGUGGUGAAAUCCUACAGCUUAACUGUAGAACUGCCUCUGAUACUUUUAUUCUUGAGUUCGGGAGAGAGAGACGGAAUUCCAGGUGUAGUGGUGAAAUACGUAGAUAUCUGGAAGAACACCAGUUGCGAAGGCGGUCUCUUGGUCCGACACUGACGCUGAGGCGCGAAAGCGUGGGGAGCAAACA